RNAcentral lists this ribosomal RNA (465 nucleotides) under Vreelandella stevensii. Its description in RNAcentral is "partial 16S ribosomal RNA". It matches the Rfam family "Bacterial small subunit ribosomal RNA", at positions 338 to 795 of the family's 1533-position model. The record is from RNAcentral. Lineage: Bacteria; Pseudomonadati; Pseudomonadota; Gammaproteobacteria; Oceanospirillales; Halomonadaceae.
CCUACGGGAGGCAGCAGUGGGGAAUAUUGGACAAUGGGCGAAAGCCUGAUCCAGCCAUGCCGCGUGUGUGAAGAAGGCCUUCGGGUUGUAAAGCACUUUCAGUGGGGAAGAAAGCCUUGGGGCUAAUACCCUCGAGGAAGGACAUCACCCACAGAAGAAGCACCGGCUAACUCCGUGCCAGCAGCCGCGGUAAUACAGAGGGUGCGAGCGUUAAUCGGAAUUACUGGGCGUAAAGCGCGCGUAGGCGGUCUGAUAAGCCGGUUGUGAAAGCCCCGGGCUCAACCUGGGAACGGCAUCCGGAACUGUCAGGCUAGAGUGCAGGAGAGGAAGGUAGAAUUCCCGGUGUAGCGGUGAAAUGCGUAGAGAUCGGGAGGAAUACCAGUGGCGAAGGCGGCCUUCUGGACUGACACUGACGCUGAGGUGCGAAAGCGUGGGUAGCAAACAGGAUUAGAUACCCCGGUAGUC